UGGGGAAUCUUGGACAAUGGGGGCAACCCUGAUCCAGCCAUGCCGCGUGAGUGAUGAAGGCCUUAGGGUCGUAAAGCUCUUUCGCCAGGGAUGAUAAUGACAGUACCUGGUAAAGAAACCCCGGCUAACUCCGUGCCAGCAGCCGCGGUAAUACGGAGGGGGUUAGCGUUGUUCGGAAUUACUGGGCGUAAAGCGCGCGUAGGCGGACCAGAAAGUUGGGGGUGAAAUCCCGGGGCUCAACCCCGGAACUGCCUCCAAAACUCCUGGGUCUUGAGUUCGAGAGAGGUGAGUGGAAUUCCGAGUGUAGAGGUGAAAUUCGUAGAUAUUCGGAGGAACACCAGUGGCGAAGGCGGCUCACUGGCUCGAUACUGACGCUGAGGUGCGAAAGUGUGGGGAGCAAACAGGAUUAGAUACCCUGGUAGUCCACACCGUAAACGAUGAAUGCCAGUCGUCGGGUAGCAUGCUAUUCGGUGACACACCUAACGGAUUAAGCAUUCCGCCUGGGGAGUACGGUCGC
RNAcentral lists this ribosomal RNA (517 nucleotides) under uncultured bacterium. Its description in RNAcentral is "bacterial SSU rRNA". It matches the Rfam family "Bacterial small subunit ribosomal RNA", at positions 355 to 889 of the family's 1533-position model. The record is from RNAcentral.